Molecule: ribosomal RNA, 464 nt
Filed under: uncultured bacterium
Lineage: Bacteria
Description: bacterial SSU rRNA
Rfam family: Bacterial small subunit ribosomal RNA
Source: RNAcentral
AUUGAACGCUGGCGGCAUGCCUUACACAUGCAAGUCGAACGGCAGCACGGGAGCAAUCCUGGUGGCGAGUGGCGAACGGGUGAGUAAUAUAUCGGAACGUGCCCAGUCGUGGGGGAUAACGUAGCGAAAGCUACGCUAAUACCGCAUACGAUCUAUGGAUGAAAGCGGGGGAUCGCAAGACCUCGCGCGAUUGGAGCGGCCGAUAUCAGAUUAGGUAGUUGGUGGGGUAAAAGCCUACCAAGCCUUCGAUCUGUAGCUGGUCUGAGAGGACGACCAGCCACACUGGAACUGAGACACGGUCCAGACUCCUACGGGAGGCAGCAGUGGGGAAUUUUGGACAAUGGGCGAAAGCCUGAUCCAGCAAUGCCGCGUGUGCGAAGAAGGCCUCGGUUGUAAGCACUUUGGUCAGGAAGAAAUAGUAGCGUGCUAAUACCAUGCGCGAAUGACGGUACCUGCAGAAUAAG